RNAcentral lists this unclassified non-coding RNA (416 nucleotides) under soil metagenome. RNAcentral describes it as "partial contains 5.8S ribosomal RNA, internal transcribed spacer 2, and large subunit ribosomal RNA". The stretch from base 2 to 120 matches the Rfam family "5.8S ribosomal RNA", at positions 36 to 154 of the family's 154-position model. The record is from RNAcentral.
UAUGAAGAACGCAGCGAAAUGCGAUAAGUAAUGUGAAUUGCAGAAUUCAGUGAAUCAUCGAAUCUUUGAACGCACCUUGCACUCCUUGGUAUUCCGAGGAGUACGCCUGUUCGAGUGUUAUGAAGCUCUCAAAACGCAAUUGGCUUAAAACCUGAUUGUUGUUUUGGAUUUGAACUUUGCCGUGUUAUAACGGCUGGUUUUAAAAGUAUUAGCUGGUACUAGAACGAAUUGGUUCUACUCAACGUGAUAAUUAUCUGAUCGUUGAGGACAUUCCUUUCACGAGGAAUGGCCAUAGUAAAUUCAAUGGACUGCUUCUAAUCUGGCUUUAAUUCUUUAUUGGAUUAACCACUUUUCAAAUCUGACCUCGAAUCAGGUGGGACUACCCGCUGAACUUAAGCAUAUCAAUAAGCGGAGGA